Molecule: ribosomal RNA, 899 nt
Filed under: uncultured Actinomycetes bacterium
Lineage: Bacteria; Bacillati; Actinomycetota; Actinomycetes
Description: bacterial SSU rRNA
Rfam family: Bacterial small subunit ribosomal RNA
Source: RNAcentral
AGAGUUUUGAUUAUGGCUCAGGACGAACGCUGGCGGCGUGCCUAACACAUGCAAGUCGACGAAGGCCCAUGCAGCGGCACCACUGCGGAAGGCCUAGUGCGAACCGGGUGAGUACACGUUGAGGAACUUGCCCCGGAGACCGGGAUACUCUUCGAAAGGAGAGCUAAUACCGGAUGUCCUCACCGAAUCGCAUGGUUUGGUGAGGAAAUGGAUUCCGCUCCGGAAGAGCCUCGCGGCCUAUCAGCUAGUUGGUGGGGUAACGGCCCACCAAGGCAUCGACGGGUAGCUGGUCUGAGAGGACGAUCAGCCACACUGGGACUGAGACACGGCCCAGACUCCUACGGGAGGCAGCAGUGGGGAAUCUUGCGCAAUGGGCGAAAGCCUGACGCAGCAACGCCGCGUGCGGGAUGACGGCCUUCGGGUUGUAAACCGCUUUCAGUGGGGACGAACCAAGACGGUACCCACAGAAGAAGCUCCGGCCAACUACGUCCAGCAGCCGCGGUAACACGUAGGGGGCAGCGUUGUCCGGAUUUAUUGGGUAAAGAGCUCGUAGGUGUUCGAUAAGUCGGGUGUGAAACCUCCAGGCUCAACCUGGAGACGCCACCCGAUACUGUCGUGACUAGAGUCCAGUAGGGGAGCAUGGAAUUCCUGGUGUAGCGGUGAAAUGCGCAGAUAUCAGGAGGAACACCAGUGGCGAAGGCGGUGCUCUGGGCUGGAACUGACACCGAGGAGCGAAAGCGUGGGGAGCGAACAGGAUUAGAUGCCCUGGUAGUCCACGCCGUAAACGUUGGGUACUAGGUGUGGGGUCUUAUCAACGGAUUCCGUGCCGCAGCUAACGCAUUAAGUACCCCGCCUGGGGAGUACGGCCGCAAGGCUAAAACUCAAAUGAAUUGACGGGG